RNAcentral lists this small RNA (98 nucleotides) under Salmonella enterica subsp. enterica serovar Typhimurium. RNAcentral's name for it is "Hfq binding sRNA". It matches the Rfam family "STnc490 Hfq binding RNA", at positions 27 to 124 of the family's 124-position model. The record is from RNAcentral. Lineage: Bacteria; Pseudomonadati; Pseudomonadota; Gammaproteobacteria; Enterobacterales; Enterobacteriaceae.
GAAAGCUUUCAGCUUUAAGCCAGUUAUUAAAACCCCUUUUGAUUUGUUAAAACAUCUUGCGGUCUGGCAACUGCAAAAGUUCAACAAGAAAUCAAAAG